This 253-nucleotide ribosomal RNA is filed under the name uncultured bacterium. Its description in RNAcentral is "partial 16S ribosomal RNA". It matches the Rfam family "Bacterial small subunit ribosomal RNA", at positions 524 to 776 of the family's 1533-position model. The record is from RNAcentral.
UACGAGGGGGGCAAGCGUUGUUCGGAAUUAUUGGGCGUAAAGGGUGCGUAGGCGGUUUGGUAAGUCUGAUGUGAAAUCUAUGGGCUCAACUCAUAGUCUGCAUCGGAAACUGCCGGGCUUGAGUAUGGGAGAGGUGAGUGGAAUUCCUGGUGUAGCGGUGAAAUGCGUAGAUAUCAGGAGGAACACCUGUGGCGAAAGCGGCUCACUGGACCUUACCUGACGCUGAGGAGCGAAAGCGUGGGGAGCGAACAGG